Molecule: long non-coding RNA, 1468 nt
Organism: Lolium rigidum
Lineage: Eukaryota; Viridiplantae; Streptophyta; Magnoliopsida; Poales; Poaceae
Exons: 2
Source: RefSeq, a predicted model, not a curated record
UUCUCUGCUCACCUUCAGGCUCCAAUAGGCACUAGGCCGCCAUUAGCGACGACGAGCUCCAACAUGGGUUGUCGGACCUUCCAAAAUACUCCAACCGCCCCGUCCCAUCUCUAGUCCAGCUAGUAAUGAGGUCUUUGCUCACAAGGGAUUUGUCCUAUUUUAUGCAAUGUAGUUUUAUUUUUCUAUACAUGGGAUGAUUCUGAUGAUGAUCAAUAACUUUGGCGGUACAUUUUUUGCAGAUGAAUGUUUUGCAGGAUAUCAUCGUUGGAGGAGUAUGAUGAUAGUUGUUUUCAGGAUGAUGAUGACUUAGAUAAUAUUGCUAUGGUAUUUGAUCGGAUGGAAGAGGGUAUCAGUAAGCGGCCAAAUCAUGAAGGUGGAAAUGGAUCAAGAUGUGCAUGGAGCUCAUUGUGCGCAACGAUGAUUACUUUAAACGAAAAUGAAAUGCAUCUGGAGAACUUGGUUUCUGUGCUCGAUAAAAGAUCAUGACUAAAAUGGGCAUCAUGGCAUAUGGUGUAGCUAGCUAUUUGGAGAAAUUGAUUCGAAUUCAGGAAGGCACCAACAUCAAGACUAUGAAGAAAUUUGUAGAAACAUUGAUCAAGGUCGUCGAAACUGAGUAUCCAAGAGCACCAAAUCUAGUGGAUAUCGUAAGACUUUUGGAAAUGGCCGAAGCAAGAGGGUUCAUGGGGAUUCUUGGGUGUAUUGACUUCAUGCCCAAGAGGUCGAAGAAUUGCUCUCCAAGAUAAAAUGAAAAUUUCAUUAUCAAACAAAUUAAAUUGUUGGUCUCCGGAUCUAUGGAUUCGGCAUUUCUAUCUUGGGAUACCUGGCUCUCACAUUGACAUCAAUAUCUUGCAAAUCUCUCAUGUGAUUGCAAGGAUAACUAUUGGGGAACCUCCACCAUGCAACUUAAGGACAAUGUCCAUGACUACUAUAUGGUUUACUAUCUUGCAGAUGAUAUAUAUCCAACAUGAUCAACAUUUGUCAAGACAAUCCAAGAAUCCAAGGUAGGAAGGGAAUCCUUUUAUAAAAGGAUCAAGGAAACAUUAAGAGACAAUAAAUAAUGGUUGUGUCUUGGAAGCUCAUUUUGCAAUCGCGCGUGGACCUACUUGCUUCUAGUACCAGAAGACCUUGAGAAACAUUGUUGUGUAGUCCUCCAUAAAUUGAUCAUAGAGGAUAAGAGAUUCCAAGAGGUAGAUUAUGAGUGCAAAUGUUUAGGAACUACUACUAUCGGGACUAAGGACAAUAGAUCGACUCACUUAUUGAAGUCCACACAAAUAGAGGACAUGGUGUCACAUGAAAAACUUUGUGAUGACAUCGUAGGCUGAAAAUGGCAACUACAUAGGGGAGUAGAUACUUGAUUUGAUUCAUUUAGGCCAUAUGCUUGUGUAUGGAUGAUUCUUUACUUUUCACGAUCUUUGCUUUUGGACGAUGUUCGAGUAUGAUUUUUUUAAUAUAGAACAUUUUCAUACUA